CCCCAGACUCCUACGGGAGGCAGCAGUGAGGAAUAUUGGUCAAUGGGCGCGAGCCUGAACCAGCCAAGUCGCGUGAGGGAUGACGGUCCUACGGAUUGUAAACCUCUUUUGCCGGGGAGCAAGCGUGCGUUCGUGAACGCGCGUCGAGAGUACCCGGAGAAAAAGCAUCGGCUAACUCCGUGCCAGCAGCCGCGGUAAUACGUAGGGGGCAAGCGUUAUCCGGAUUUACUGGGUGUAAAGGGAGCGUAGACGGAAAGGCAAGUCAGAAGUGAAAACCCAAGGCUCAACCAUGGGACUGCUUUUGAAACUGUCAAACUAGAGUACGGGAGAGGUAAGAGGAAUUCCUAGUGUAGCGGUGAAAUGCGUAGAUAUCAGGAGGAACACCGGCGGCGAAGGCGGCCUGCUGGACCGUGACUGACGUUGAGGCUCGAGAGCGUGGGGAGCAAACAGGAUUAGAUACCCCCGUAGC
This 469-nucleotide ribosomal RNA is filed under the name uncultured bacterium. RNAcentral's name for it is "bacterial SSU rRNA". It matches the Rfam family "Bacterial small subunit ribosomal RNA", at positions 329 to 794 of the family's 1533-position model. The record is from RNAcentral.